AGUGAACGCUGGCGGUAGGCCUAACACAUGCAAGUCGAACGGCAGCACAGUAAGAGCUUGCUCUUACGGGUGGCGAGUGGCGGACGGGUGAGGAAUACAUCGGAAUCUACUUUUUCGUGGGGGAUAGCGUAGGGAAACUUACGCUAAUACCGCAUACGACCUACGGGUGAAAGCAGGGGAUCUUCGGACCUUGCGCGAUUGAAUGAGCCGAUGUCGGAUUAGCUAGUUGGCGGGGUAAAGGCCCACCAAGGCGACGAUCCGUAGCUGGUCUGAGAGGAUGAUCAGCCACACUGGAACUGGGACACGGUCCAGACUCCUACGGGAGGCACCAGUGGGGAAUAUUGGACAAUGGGCGCAAGCCUGAUCCAGCCAUACCGCGUGGGUGAAGAAGGCCUUCGGGUUGUAAAGCCCUUUUGUUGGGAAAGAAAAGCAGCAGGUUAAUACCCCGCUGUUCUGACGGUACCCAAAGAAUAAGCACCGGCUAACUUCGCG
This 492-nucleotide ribosomal RNA is filed under the name uncultured bacterium. RNAcentral's name for it is "partial 16S ribosomal RNA". It matches the Rfam family "Bacterial small subunit ribosomal RNA", at positions 29 to 507 of the family's 1533-position model. The record is from RNAcentral.